Apis cerana (Asiatic honeybee) is the source of this 1405-nucleotide long non-coding RNA. RefSeq lists it as uncharacterized. The record is from RefSeq and is a predicted model, not a curated record. NCBI's taxonomy places the organism in Eukaryota, Metazoa, Arthropoda, Insecta, Hymenoptera, Apidae.
AUUACAACUAUCUUAUUAUCUUGAUAAAUUGGUAAUUCUAGUAAUAAUUUUUUUUUUCCAAUAAGUAGAUCUUUAGAGAAUUCCAAUCUGACAAGUAACACAUAAUUAAUAUACGUGUUAUGUUAUAUUUCAAUUUUUCGCGCGAUUUUUGAAUGAAAAAAAUAAGCAUCAUGAGCCAGCCAAUCAGAACGUCGCUUUAUUCAAGUAGUCGCGGGACUCAUUGCGCAUCGUAGUGCGCAUUACACUGCGCAUUACACUGCGCAUGUCGUCAGUCUACAGUUGAAAAUUGUGUGGAGUGGACGUGUCGUCGCGAAUUGUGAUUAUCGCAGUUUAAUUGGUAGCGUUAUGGUAAUAUUCUCGAAGGCGGGAAAAAUUCCAAUAUGGACGCCAUUGGUGACUUUUUUUCGUGGUAAAAUUUUACAUUUCGUGUAAAUUAUUUUUUAAUUAUUAAUCCAGUAAUUGAGUUUGUUACAGAUAUGAAAUAUGAAAAAUAGAAGAAAAUAAACAGGAAAAAAUAGAUAGAUAAUAAUGUGUUAUCCUCAUUUGUUGGAAAUUAAUUACCUUUGUUAUUGUUGUUGUUUCACUAAUUCUGUUCUAUAGUUUGUUUCAGAAAUCUCCUUCAGCUUUCAACAAUGGAUUAUGUGGAAUGGAUUACAUCUUAUCAUCAGAUAAAUAUUCUAAUUUUUUAUAUUAGGUAAUAUAGAAUAGGUUGUAGGAAACAUUUAGCUUUUUUUCUUGAUAGAUGGGAUUUAUAAACGAUGUUCUGUUCUUCUUCUUCUUAUUGUUAAAAAAAGCAGCUUCGCUUUCCCCACUUUGAUUCGUUUUCCAAAUCAACAUUUCCUAUUUUUCAAGGCAAUAUGAUCAUUUUGCUAUCCUUAAUUCCUUAAUUUCCUCAUUAUAAACAAAUGCUUGAUACUUGAUAGCUACAUGACUUUGUUCAUUAGCCAUCAUUGGUAUAUACUGAUUUGCAUUUUCCUCUUGCCACAUGUGGUUUUAUGUCGUAUCACAAAUUUUUUGGAAUUUGUGUGUCAUCAAUCAGUGUGAAUGUAAAUAUGAUGAAUGUUGAUACGAAGAGAAUUUGUUAGAUGUUCAAUCAAAGCUGAAUUAGGAACAAAGUGUUUAAAUUCUUAUAUAGAUAAGAAAUAUAAAAAAAAAACUUUCAGAAUAAAUUAAAUGUUAAUGUUAUAUUUUUAAUUCAAGUUUGUUUCAGGAUUUCUUACAGGAACAGAAGAUUGUAUAAUUGAUUAAAAAAAAGUGUAUUUAAAAUUAAGUGCAUGCAGAAUCAAGGGUAUUAAAUAAAGUUAUGUAUUGUAGAAAAGUAGAUACUGUAGAUAAAUAGGUGGAUAACAUACAUUUAGGAAAGGAGAAUUUAUUUACGAAUAAAAUAAUUUGGGAAAUUUAUAAA